RNAcentral lists this long non-coding RNA (903 nucleotides) under Apteryx rowi (Okarito brown kiwi). RNAcentral's name for it is "lncRNA (ENSARWG00000007869.1)". The record is from RNAcentral. Lineage: Eukaryota; Metazoa; Chordata; Aves; Apterygiformes; Apterygidae.
CCCUCCAGGAAGAGGUCCAGAGAUUUCACCAAUUCUGCCUUGGAUCAUAGACAGAGAGAGGAAAUUGCCCUUUCCUCCAGCUUUUCCUUCCCCUUCUCUGGAGAUUGACGUGCUCUUGUCGACAUGGACCGCAACAACACGGUUGUGUUUCAGGUCGUGCCUUCGCUGAUAAGAACACUUUUUGGAGCUAACUUCCUCGGUUGUGACAGAGGCCCGAAGCCCAGACUCGGCGGAUGUUGCCCGUGACCCCAGCAUUCCCGAUGGCUCCGGGGAUUGCUGCUGAAGCCCGUUGGGAACUUGCCCACGACACACCAAGGAGAAGCUCUUAGCCAGAGACAAGUGACCAGCUUCAGAACAGGGUCUCUGUGCUCCUCACUCAAAAAAAAMCCCACACUGCCCACUGCAUCCCGCUGUAGGAAGCACAGACACAUGACUGCUUACGACUACUCUUGAAUUAGGUUGCCAUUUGUACAGAUUUCAUAAAAAAUGUAUCCAUGUGAGCACUGCUGCUGGAGACCAGACUUCAGCAUGGACUUAAACUGUACAAAUCUUCCUGAAGGCCACAACACAGGAGUGUAGCUGCCUUUAAAACUUCCUGCACCUCAGAUGCCAGUGCAUAAUAUUCCCUUGUUACUUCCUCUGAGUUGCUUAUAACAACCCUGGAGUGACAUUGCAGCAGAGCAGAGGACGAAAGGGCUGAGCUUACAGCUAGUGUAAUUCRGGUUUGGUGGAGAUUAAGAUCUGGCUCAAAACUUUUGAGUAGUGUGUUGUCAAGCUACACACGCUAGGGCGUAGCUGGACAGCUGGGUUGCUAUGCUCAGUCCAGCUUGUUUCAAUUAUAUUUAUCUUCCCUCGUAUUAAUGGUGAUAUAUUAUUGUAGUGUGCAUGGAAAUUAAAGCAAAA